CUACGGGUAUCCACACGAAGUCCUCGUACUGAUCAAUCUCUCUGGGAGUGCUAGCUCAUGAAGACACCAUCUAUUGGCUGAUUUGAGAGAAACAUGAUGGAAUUGAAGAAUAAGGAGACCCUCUCUUUUUCUUCCUGAAUCCAUGCAUCUGAUCUCUACAAUUUCUCAUGUAUAAGAGAGAACUUUUUUCUCUUUCUUUCAUGCCCUUGAGAAGAACUUUUUUUUUCUAAUUUUUUAUGAUAAAAAU
This 247-nucleotide long non-coding RNA is filed under the name Elaeis guineensis (African oil palm). Its description in RNAcentral is "long non-coding RNA (EGUI_LNC070461)". The record is from RNAcentral. Lineage: Eukaryota; Viridiplantae; Streptophyta; Magnoliopsida; Arecales; Arecaceae.